GAUCUGAACAAUAACGGCAAGUUCUUCGUCGAGGCUCCCGUGAGUCUCUGUGCCCCUGUGCUAAACAACCAGUCAAGAUCUUCUUCCUUUUGGGCGGGCUCGAGGACUGAAUUUGCUGCCAAAAGAAAGAGUUCAUUGGACCGCACUGGAGGAAGCCGCCCUGAACGCCACUUAUGGAGGUGUUUUGAUCCCGUGUAGUCUUUGUGGGUACUUUCUGGGUUUUGCCCACACUACAGAUGGAGAGAGCGGUUGUGUUAGCCAAUAGGCUCACACCCUGCCUGGAGGCUGAAAGGCCCAUUGGGCAGAAAGUUUUGAUUGACGUGGGUGCAAGCCAAUCAACACUUCCGAGGAAGGGCUCUGGAAAGUUCCCUCAACUGCUAAUUCCCCAGGAUGCACAGGACCUCAGCAUGGCUGAAGGCAUGUGCUGACCAGAAAGGGGCUGACAGCUGGGGACUAUGUGCUGACCACACUCCCUGCCUUGGAACAGAAAGGUGUUAAAAACCAAGGUCUGGGGACUUCCCUGGUGGCAUAGUGGUUAAGAAUCCACCUGCCAAUGCAGGGGACAUGGGUUCGAGCCCUGGUCUGGGAAGAUCCUACAUGCCGAGGAGCAACUAAGCCCAUGCACCACAACCACUGAGCCUGUGCUCUAAAGCCCACGAGCCGCAACUGCUGAGCCUGCGUGCCACAACUGCUGAAGCCCAUGUGCCUAGAGCCUGUGCUCAGCAACAAGAGAAGCGACCGCAAUGAGAAGCCCACUCACCGCAACAAAGAGUAGCCCCUGCUCGCCGCAACUAGAGAAAGCCCCGCAUGCAGCAACGAAGACCCAAAGCAGCCAAAAAUAAAUAAAUAAAUAAAAACCAAGGUCUGGGGACCUAAAGCGAGCAUCAAU
Molecule: long non-coding RNA, 889 nt
Organism: Mesoplodon densirostris (Blainville's beaked whale)
Lineage: Eukaryota; Metazoa; Chordata; Mammalia; Artiodactyla; Ziphiidae
Exons: 3
Source: RefSeq, a predicted model, not a curated record